RNAcentral lists this ribosomal RNA (465 nucleotides) under uncultured bacterium. RNAcentral describes it as "partial 16S ribosomal RNA". It matches the Rfam family "Bacterial small subunit ribosomal RNA", at positions 339 to 795 of the family's 1533-position model. The record is from RNAcentral.
CUACGGGAUGCACCAGUGGGGAAUAUUGGACAAUGGGGGAAACCCUGAUCCAGCAAUGCCGCGUGUGUGAAGAAGGCCUGCGGGUUGUAAAGCACUUUCGGUUGGGAGGACUGCUUCUAGCACUAAUAUUGUUGGAAGUUGACGUUACCUUCAGAAGAAGCACCGGCUAACUCCGUGCCAGCAGCCGCGGUAAUACGGAGGGUGCAAGCGUGAAUCGGAAUUACUGGGCGUAAAGCGCGCGUAGGCGGCUAGAUCAGUCGGGUGUGAAAGCCCCGGGCUUAACCUGGGAACUGCAUCCGAUACUGUCUAGCUUGAGUAAAGGAGAGGAGGGUGGAAUUCCACAUGUAGCGGUGAAAUGCGUAGAUAUGUGGAGGAACACCAAUGGCGAAGGCAGCUCUCUGGCCUGAUACUGACGCUGAGGUGCGAAAGCGUGGGGAGCAAACAGGAUUAGAUACCCUCGUAGUC